AAGGAGCGGGCGACCGCGUGCGACAGUCUUCAGUUCAGAUUGGAAGCGAAAAGACGUACUUCGUCAAGAAGAUUAAACAGUGAAAAACGAAGUCUAAAGUUAAAAUAAGUAAUAAAAAUAAUAGAAAGCGUAUUGAAGCAGACGUGCAAGUGGAAAAGUAUUGUAAAAUCUAAGUAGUGAAAGAUAUUGAAACAGCCUCGUGGCAGGGGUGCUGCCGCAAGCGCUGGUCCGAUUUUCACCAAUCUCUUGGUGCAUAUAUAUUGGCGCGGAGACAAGGGUAGUAAAUUUACUCCAAGGAGAUUUCGGAACCGUGCUCCAGUGCCACAUUCGAGACUGCUCGUUGAUGAUCAUCAAAUGUGUCUGGCGUUAAGUGACUUAUAUAAAUGGAUACCAAAGUCACAAGUUUAUUCAGAUCCACAAGAAAUUAUGACUUUAAAUCUGUGUUGCGUAGUGUAAUUGAUUAUUUAUUCUCCUUUGUGCUACCUUCGUCGCUCUUAUUGAGCGAAUGAGAAUUAGAAUUGACAAAGAGUAAAGCGCACGAACAAGCUGAAAGAUAAAAGCAACUACAAUUAGUAAAACAGAAGCCAUCUGAACGAAAUUCGAAGCACGCAUCCAUACAUACAUCACAUUAAGCUUAAAUCUUUGACAUUGCGAUCAGCGGAUGUCUACCUAAUCUAUUCCCAUUGAUCGAAGCUAAAGUAAAUUUAAGCAACUAAACAAACAUGGAACAAAAUGUAUUAUAUUGAAUUAAAAAUUAGUCGAUAGAUAUUAGAGUUAAGCAGCAGUAGUAAUAUUCCUUUUGACCUAUGAAUAUAUUUGGCAAGGGCAACAAUGAUACCCAUACAAUAAUACACCUACACACACCCACCAACAUCGACGUCAUAUUGGGCCCAAGUGCACGCAACGAUGGAAGUAUGAGUGAGUUAAUAUAGAGUAGUGAGGACUAUUUUUUUUUGUAUAUCUGUUGUAUAUAUAUAUAUUUACGAUUGACAUUGCAUUGAUCUCGAACCUAUUGCCAACGUGAGCGUAAGAUAACAGUUUUGAUCAGUAAGUUAUGUUGGAAAUCUGAAGUUAUUUUGUUGAACAAAAAUCAGUAUAUUAUUAUUUUGUAAAAUCAUGAAUUCGAAUUUGAAUGUUUCGGUAAAUCUUAGGGAAUUGAUAAUUCGCUUGUAAUAUAACCAU
Molecule: long non-coding RNA, 1182 nt
Organism: Drosophila montana
Lineage: Eukaryota; Metazoa; Arthropoda; Insecta; Diptera; Drosophilidae
Exons: 3
Source: RefSeq, a predicted model, not a curated record